Molecule: non-coding RNA, 29 nt
Filed under: Rattus norvegicus (Norway rat)
Lineage: Eukaryota; Metazoa; Chordata; Mammalia; Rodentia; Muridae
Source: RNAcentral
UCCUUAUCGAGUAUUUUCUUUUAAAGGUU